CAGCACCUCAAGUGGGCAGGAUGAUUAUUGGGCCUAAAGCAUCCGUAGCCGGCGCUGUAAGUUUUCGGUUAAAUCUGUACGCUCAACGUACAGGCUGCCGGGAAUACUGCAGCGCUAGGGAGUGGGAGAGGUAGACGGUACUCGGUAGGAAGGGGUAAAAUCCUUUGAUCUAUUGAUGACCACCUGUGGCGAAGGCGGUCUACCAGAACACGUCUGACGGUGAGGGAUGAAAGCUGGGGGAGCAAACCGGAUUAGAGACCCGAGUAGUCC
RNAcentral lists this ribosomal RNA (270 nucleotides) under uncultured archaeon. RNAcentral's name for it is "partial 16S ribosomal RNA". It matches the Rfam family "Archaeal small subunit ribosomal RNA", at positions 477 to 747 of the family's 1478-position model. The record is from RNAcentral.